Molecule: ribosomal RNA, 145 nt
Filed under: Pyrus spinosa
Lineage: Eukaryota; Viridiplantae; Streptophyta; Magnoliopsida; Rosales; Rosaceae
Description: 5.8S ribosomal RNA
Rfam family: 5.8S ribosomal RNA
About the family: 5.8S ribosomal RNA (5.8S rRNA) is a component of the large subunit of the eukaryotic ribosome. It is transcribed by RNA polymerase I as part of the 45S precursor that also contains 18S and 28S rRNA.
Source: RNAcentral
AAAACUACACUUGGUAACGGAUAUCUCGGCUCUCGCAUCGAUGAAGAACAUAGCGAAAUGCGAUACUUGGUGUGAAUUGCAGAAUCCCUUGAACCAUCGAGUUUUUGAACACAAGUUGCGAGGGCACGCUUGCUUGGGCGUCACA